Molecule: ribosomal RNA, 600 nt
Filed under: uncultured bacterium
Lineage: Bacteria
Description: bacterial SSU rRNA
Rfam family: Bacterial small subunit ribosomal RNA
Source: RNAcentral
ACCCUACGGGAAUCAGCAGUGAGGAAUUUUGCCCAAUGGGCGAAAGCCUGGCGCAGCGACGCCGCGUGGAUGAUGAAGUCGGCCUUCGGGUUGUAAACUCCUGUCAGAGGUGAAGAAUGCCCGCAAGGGCUUGACGGUAACCUCAGAGGAAGCCCCGGCUAAUUACGUCCCCUAACCAGCCCGGGUAAUACGUAGGGGGCAAGCGUUGGUCGGAAUUACUGGUCGUAAAUGGAGUGCAGGGGGCCGGUUAAGUCGAAGAUGAAAUCCCGAGGCUUAAACUUCCGAAACUGUCUUUCGUAUACUGAUCGGCUUGAAGGUGGCUGAUGAGGAGCGGAAUUCCCCGGUGGAGCGGAAAUUUCAAUGUGCAUAGAUAAAAUGGGGAGGAACACUCAGAGGCGAAGGCGGCUCUCUAACCUAGUCCUGACGCUGAGACUAGAAAGCUAGGGGAGCAAACGGGAUUAGAUACCCCGGUUAGUCCUCCCCGUAAACGAUGGACACUAGAUGUUCUCGCGUUCAGGCGGGAGUGUCGUAGCUAACGCGUUAAGUGUCCCGCCUGGGGAGUACCGUCGCAAGGCUGAAACUCAAAGGAAUUGACGGAAA